RNAcentral lists this ribosomal RNA (169 nucleotides) under Lophotus capellei (unicornfish). RNAcentral describes it as "partial 12S ribosomal RNA". Lineage: Eukaryota; Metazoa; Chordata; Actinopteri; Lampriformes; Lophotidae. The record is from RNAcentral.
CACCGCGGUUAUACGAGAGGCCCAAGUUGACAUUCAUCGGCGUAAAGAGUGGUUAGGGACAUAAAUAAACUAGGACUAAACGCCCUUCCUGCUGUUAUACGCAACUAAGGGUAGGAAACCCAACUACGAAAGUGGUCCUAUAACACCUGAACCCACGAAAGCUAUGACA